GACGAACGCUGGCGGCGUGCUUAACACAUGCAAGUCGAACGGAAAGGCCCUGCUUUUGUGGGGUGCUCGAGUGGCGAACGGGUGAGUAACACGUGAGUAACCUGCCCUUGACUUUGGGAUAACUUCUGGAAACUGGGGCUAAUACCGGAUAGGAGCUCCUGCUGCAUGGUGGGGGUUGGAAAGUUUCGGCGGUUGGGGAUGGACUCGCGGCUUAUCAGCUUGUUGGUGGGGUAGUGGCUUACCAAGGCUUUGACGGGUAGCCGGCCUGAGAGGGUGACCGGCCACAUUGGGACGGGGCUACGGCCCAGCCUCCUACGGGAGGCAGAAGAGGGGAGUGUUGCACAAUGGGCGGAAGCCUGAUGCAACAACGCCGCGUGCGGGAUGACGGCCUUCGGGUUGUAAACCGCUUUCGCCUGUGACGAAGCGUGAGUGACGGUAAUGGGUAAAGAAGCACCGGCUAACUACGUG
RNAcentral lists this ribosomal RNA (468 nucleotides) under uncultured bacterium. Its description in RNAcentral is "partial 16S ribosomal RNA". It matches the Rfam family "Bacterial small subunit ribosomal RNA", at positions 28 to 507 of the family's 1533-position model. The record is from RNAcentral.